GAGCCCGUGGCGCAGCGGUUAGCGUUUCUGAUUCCAGCACCUUGGUGUUUCCAGAAGGUCAUCCGUUCAAAUCGGGUCGGGCUCA
Molecule: transfer RNA, 85 nt
Filed under: Ephemerocybe angulata
Lineage: Eukaryota; Fungi; Basidiomycota; Agaricomycetes; Agaricales; Psathyrellaceae
Description: Coprinellus angulatus tRNA-Trp
Source: RNAcentral